Molecule: ribosomal RNA, 346 nt
Filed under: Nematoda environmental sample
Lineage: Eukaryota; Metazoa; Nematoda
Description: SSU rRNA
Rfam family: Eukaryotic small subunit ribosomal RNA
Source: RNAcentral
GGUGGAGUAAUUUGUCUGGUUUAUUCCGAUAACGAGCGAGACUCUAGCCUGCUAAAUAGAACGAGGAUAAACCUUUUCAUAGGUCCUCGAUGCUUCUUAGAGGAAUUAGCGGUGCUUAGCCGCACGAGAUUGAGCGAUAACAGGUCUGUGAUGCCCUUAGAUGUCCGGGGCUGCACGCGUGCUACACUGGAAGACUCAACGUGCUCUCCAUCGCCGAAAGGUGUUGGCAAACCGUUGAAACUCUUCCGUGACUGGGAUAGGGAAUUGUAAUUAUUUCCCUUGAACGAGGAAUUCCUAGUAAGUGUGAGUCAUCAGCUCGCGCUGAAUACGUCCCUGCCCUUUGUAC